Long non-coding RNA from Dermacentor andersoni, 1069 nucleotides. RefSeq lists it as uncharacterized. Lineage: Eukaryota; Metazoa; Arthropoda; Arachnida; Ixodida; Ixodidae. The record is from RefSeq and is a predicted model, not a curated record.
CUACCGAAGCGAGCGAGGCAGGCUGCGCCUGUGAAGUUCGCCUGUUCAGCGACCGGAAUCGUUUGAAUGUCGUCUGUCGGUUGGGCUCCCGGCGUAUUGCGUUCCUCCUGCACUUCGACACGGCACUGCUGCUAUAUUGGGCUACGGCAAGGACAUUCCUGUGGCACAUGUUUCGAAAAAAGCAAGCGACGAACAGGCGGGCCAGGUUACGUUUCCCAGCAGACGAGAAAUUCCCCGUGGCUCAUGGUUCGAAAAGCGGGGGGACGAAUAGCCGGGCCAAGUUCCGCUUCCCAAGAGACAAGGCCUCCUGUAACACCAACAUCCUGUCUUCGAGGAAGGUAUGCUCAGAGCAGCUGUUCAAGCUUGCCAUGGCCCGUGUUCCUGCAGCAGAGACAUGGGACAUAUUCUAACUUUCGCUCAAGGGAUAUUAUCAGCGCUCCAUCAGUGCCCUGUUGCGUGUGCCGCAAAAGGGAUUAUGCAGAGUAAAUAGGACUAUCCAAGCAUUCAGCAAGGAAGGCGGCAUUUUCGACGCUCCACAUAGGCGUCGACCAAGUGCAACGACGGAUGAAGUGGACGUGCUCGUAGUGGCUGCAGUAGUUUAUAUAACCCGUUAUGGUCCACGUGGCAAGUGCGAGAGCUGCCGGAUGUUACCAUGCGGCGACGUCUCAGCAGUGCUGGACUGCAAAUUUCUGUGGCUGCGCAAAAGCCCAUGCUCACGUGCUUCGAGCGAGGCGUCACGACUGCGAUAUGCGGAAGCGCACGCCUGCCGCACUUCCGAUGGCUGGGACCGGGUAAUGCUCCUGGACGAGUCGACUUUUUACAACGCGCCUAAAUCAACGCGUGCCAGUGUGGCGAGCAACAGGGACAGGUUACGUACCAGCCAAUGUGCAGGGAAAAGCCGGGAGCGGACGAACCUGCUUGAACCAAUGGGACGCAGUGUCAAGGCACGAUCCCGGGCCCCUCCACCUCACUCGGGGCGCUCUUACUCAGCAGCGCCACUGCUACUUCUCUAAGUGUUUCAAUAUUUUGUGAAAAGUGCGCAAAAUAAACAGGUUGAACGUUUGUCUUA